Molecule: ribosomal RNA, 253 nt
Filed under: uncultured bacterium
Lineage: Bacteria
Description: partial 16S ribosomal RNA
Rfam family: Bacterial small subunit ribosomal RNA
Source: RNAcentral
GACGUAGGGCGCGAGCGUUGUCCGGAUUUAUUGGGCGUAAAGAGCUCGUAGGCGGCUUGUCGCGUCGAAUGUGAAAUCUCAGGGCUCAACUCUGACAUUGCAUUCGAUACGGGCAGGCUCGAGUUCGGUAGGGGAGACUGGAAUUCCUGGUGUAGCGGUGAAAUGCGCAGAUAUCAGGAGGAACACCGGUGGCGAAAGCGGCGCGCUGGAUCCCUACUGACGCUGAGGCACGAAAGCCAGGGGAGCAAACGGG